GGAGGGCAGCGGGCGGCCCUGCGGCUCUGAGUCCGCCGCCUGGAGCCUCAGCCAGGCGCCUUGGCCUCCUUCACGCAGAAAUAUAGUUCCUCAGAAAGAGAAGUUUCACAGUGGAAUAUGGAUGCUAUACAUGAUGAUAUGAUGGAAUUGCAUAAGGACGUAACUCUGAGCUCCGUGGUCAAGGCACUGGUUUGACAUAAUAAGGAAGCUAUCUGCAUGUGAUCUAAGGAUAGGUGCCAUUGCCCCUCUCUGGUGGAUCCUUGCUUCUGUGCUUGGCAUGCACGUAGCAUCCCCUAGUGGAAUACCAUCUCUUCCCCUGCCCCUGGCUCCCCCAGCAGCCAUGAGGAAGCUCUGCCGGUGUAGCUGCUUUUCUCUUCUAGCUGGCUCACUCUUGUAUGGUGGGCAGAGAGAAGAUUGAAGACCCCAGACCUGGUGUAAAUCAGUGUGUCUCCAUUGACUAGAAUGUGCACCUUGUGGAAGAUGAAUAGCAUCAAAUUUUUGCAGGAGAUGGGAGAGUUUAACUUGCAGGAGAUUUUAAUAGAAAAAUAAUACCAAGACUCACUCUAAAGCUUACUUUAAUCUCAAUGAGAAGAGCAAGUAGAUGUUGAUAGAAAGUGGGGACAGAUAAGAACUGUGACUGUUACUACCAGCAGUAAUGGUUUCCUGGUAACCUGGGGUUAAACUUGAUGGUCAACUUAAUGGCUUGUCCAGAGGAGCCUCUGUGUGUAUACACAGUAUCUGUAUGCACAUUGAGUUGAAGGCAAUGUCAGGAAAGUACCUAUAAAUAUGACCCAGAGAAGCAAAGCUUGAGACCUUCUGAGGCACUGAGACAGGAAAACGUCUACAUUUGCUUAUUCUAUGGCUGGCAAAGCAAAAUUACAUUGUUUUUUUUCCUCCUCUUUUUCUUUUGUUAAAUAAUAUUUCAAAGCAAAUGUCCUUUUUUUCUUCUUCUUGCCCCCUGUCCCCCCUCUUUUGUUAAGAUUGACUUUUGAAUGCUUCAUAAUUAUUUUACCAACGAAACAGCAAUGGUAAAGCAGACUUCAGGCAUGAAACAGCCCUGCAAAUGCCUUGGAAAGAUAUCACCUGAAUGCAGUAGGGGAAGCAGAGAUCUCAACAGAUAAACCUCUGAAUUAAAUCAUAUGGUUUUUUUCUGUGAUUCUGACUAUUUCUGGUCAUUUGUUUCUAUUUAUGCCUUUUUCCCUCCCUUUUUUUAGGAAGUGUACAUUAAUA
Molecule: long non-coding RNA, 1230 nt
Organism: Vidua chalybeata
Lineage: Eukaryota; Metazoa; Chordata; Aves; Passeriformes; Viduidae
Exons: 6
Source: RefSeq, a predicted model, not a curated record